Long non-coding RNA from Platichthys flesus (European flounder), 977 nucleotides. RefSeq lists it as uncharacterized. The record is from RefSeq and is a predicted model, not a curated record. The transcript is spliced from 4 exons. Lineage: Eukaryota; Metazoa; Chordata; Actinopteri; Pleuronectiformes; Pleuronectidae.
CUGAUCAUUGAUUUGUUGACAGCGGUGUGAACAGGGAGCAGGGUGGGCAUGCAAUGCAUUGCAAUAUAUUUACUAUAUUCUACUGGAAGUGGUCUUGACUUUGUACAGAAGAAUCAGAUUCUAACUACUUGGGCCUGAAGUGUGAGGAAAUCUGAGGAACAGCCUUGUGCUCAAAACAUCACUGGCUCGUAAAUCCUUUAAAGGAAGCUUUGUGUUGUUUUAUUGUUCCAGCACAAACUUAUGAAAAUAUAGUUUUUUUCUGGAUGUGUGUGUGUUAUAAUCAUGUUUUGAGCUGGAGGCGAGCAACCACGUGACAUGAAUAACCCAAACUCUUGCAUUUUAACCCCACCCACCUACGAGCACACCCUUUAAAUUGAGGGGGAGGAACUCAACAGCUGAUUCUCCUGUGAGCAGUUGUUCUGAUGUCUGCCACAGUGAUGGCAGAAAGAGGUGGAAGUCUUCCCCCGCCUCCGGCUGAUGGAGACCCCCUCGGUUAGCAAGCUAGCAAGUAGCGGGGACAAAAAUGGCAGAAGAGGAGAGGAUGUGUGACGAGCGGCGCCCGCGACGUCACCGCUUCAGCACCGCGGACAGCAUGACGUCAUGACAGCCCAGGAGACCUUACAGAUGAAGCUCCACCAGUAUCACCUCCUCACCCUGGGAACCAAGAGCAACAGAUGACCUGCAGAUCUGAGAUUAGGAGCAGGUAUCUACAGGAUUAGAAGGUGGCUGGCCACUGUGGCUGACGGGGCCGAGUCCUUGAGGAGAUCAUGUGUCUGUGGAAAGUACAGGACAGGCGCUGAUGUUUGAGCUUUCAAACCAGUGUCCCUGUUGUUGCCCCCUUCGCUCCAUCUCCGCCGCGGCUCAUUCCCAAUGUCUCUAUGACAGAGGGCGGCCUGUAUGGCUUGGCACAUACAACCAUACAUGACUUUGCAUUGCUGGAGUGCCUUGCAUUAUAUACAGGGAAAGGGAUAAUAAAU